Molecule: long non-coding RNA, 1674 nt
Filed under: Brassica napus (rape)
Lineage: Eukaryota; Viridiplantae; Streptophyta; Magnoliopsida; Brassicales; Brassicaceae
Description: long non-coding RNA (BNAP_LNC000935)
Source: RNAcentral
GUAUUGGUAUUCUUUUAUUCGUACAAAUACAAUAAUAGUCAAACAAUAAUAUAUUUAACGGGACCAUAAUUUUUAAAAUACAACAAUUACCAAUUAGUUAUGAAUUUAUAAUGUUCUUACAAAUUAAAACAAACACUCGUGCAGAUAUACGGAUCAAGAUCUAGUAGUAUCUUAAAAGAAGAAGAAGAAAUAGACUUAUUUAGUCCAAUUAAAAAAUUCUUUGGCCGGUUUAUUAUUUCUAAUUAAGGAAACUCCUUUAAGUUCAACAAUAUAUUCGCGUAUCUGACCACAUCGAGUAUUGGCAGCUCCUCUAUAUGCUCUCCAUAUUACAAUAGAAGUCCUACUCUUUACAUCCCUUAAUUCACAUUUCCACACUAUUCUCUUUUCUCCUCUCUCCUGAACUUCAAAUUUGAAUAUUUCAUUGAGUAAUAUAUGAUUGAUACCUUUGCUGUCGCCUCUGUUGGACCAGCAGGUGACAGCCAGUACAUGAGCAGCUCUUGUAAUAUUAUAUCUUCUAUCUUAUUAAAGUAGAAGUACCUUUGGGAAUGUUUGGAAACAAGAAUAACAUAAUUAAAAAUAAAUAUAAUGUUAUUUGAAAAUAUGGAUAGCAAUAUAUUAAAAAAAAAUUAUGUUAUUAAAAAAAUUGAAGUCCAUUAUAUUUUUAUAAAUUAUCUUGUUUGGGCCAUAUUUAAAAUAUACGAAAAUGACUCAAUAUAAUUAUUUUUUGUGCAACUGGUCCAAUCUAAUUAACUAAAAACAUAUUUUGUCUAAAUUAAUCAUUAAAUAAAAUUCAAAACAAAAAAAGAUUCAAAAUAUACAUGUAUUCAAAAAUUGAUUUUUACUAAUGUAUUAAUAACCAUUAUAAAAUUAUUUUCAAUAUAUAUAAAAAAACUAUACAAAAGAACUAAUAGAUUGAGGAGACCUUCUUUCUAAUUUUUUUAUGGACCACCGAAACAUAAUUAGAUAUACAAUAAUAGAAAUAACUAUAAUAUUUGAAUUACAAUAUCAAAUAAACAACCAAACAAAAAUAAUAAUAUAUGAAUGUAUUGGUAUUCUUUUAUUCGUACAAAUACAAUAAUAGUCAAACAAUAAUAUAUUUAACGGGACCAUAAUUUUUAAAAUACAACAAUUACCAAUUAGUUAUGAAUUUAUAAUGUUCUUACAAAUUAAAACAAACACUCGUGCAGAUAUACGGAUCAAGAUCUAGUAGUAUCUUAAAAGAAGAAGAAGAAAUAGACUUAUUUAGUCCAAUUAAAAAAUUCUUUGGCCGGUUUAUUAUUUCUAAUUAAGGAAACUCCUUUAAGUUCAACAAUAUAUUCGCGUAUCUGACCACAUCGAGUAUUGGCAGCUCCUCUAUAUGCUCUCCAUAUUACAAUAGAAGUCCUACUCUUUACAUCCCUUAAUUCACAUUUCCACACUAUUCUCUUUUCUCCUCUCUCCUGAACUUCAAAUUUGAAUAUUUCAUUGAGUAAUAUAUGAUUGAUACCUUUGCUGUCGCCUCUGUUGGACCAGCAGGUGACAGCCAGUACAUGAGCAGCUCCAAGUUGGUUUUUAAAUUGUAAAAUGUUUGGAGUGCAUUUGGAAAUUUGUCCAGAACUUUCUUUAAAACCAUAACAUAUAACAAGAACUAACAUAAAAUUAAUGAGAUGAUUCAUUUUGGAUCUAAAGACUCAA